ACUUUCCUUGGGUCGCAUCAGUUCUCUGGAGUGCCUUACCCAUGACAGAUUAAUUCCCAAGAUCCACACUCAAGAGUGACCUAAAAAUCACAUCUUUUCAGGUUUUUAUGAUUCUUCACAGAGAUAAAAAAAAUAAAAACACAUUAACAUCACAGAAGAAAAGCACAGCGUCCCUGAGGGAGAAUGGCAUACAAAUUCUACAAAGUCUGCCCCAACUGCAGGCUGCAGACACUGACAAGAGGGAUGCUCCAGGGCAAGUGGUCACCAUACGGCUCUACUCUGUAAUAGCAAGAAGUGACCUGGAGAUCUCAGCCCCAAAAAACAAGCGCCAGGCCAUCAGGGAGACCAUUUUUCAGAAUCCUCCUUGACGUGUUACCACAGAGCUAGACAUUCUGGUCGCUGUGAGGAUGGGGCAGCUGCAGCUACAACAAAUAAAGCCCAGCUGGACAGCGGGGUA
Long non-coding RNA from Hyla sarda, 457 nucleotides. RefSeq lists it as uncharacterized. The transcript is spliced from 3 exons. Lineage: Eukaryota; Metazoa; Chordata; Amphibia; Anura; Hylidae. The record is from RefSeq and is a predicted model, not a curated record.